CCUACGGGUGGCAGCAGUGGGGGAUAUUGCACAAUGGGGGAAACCCUGAUGCAGCGACGCCGCGUGGGCGAAGAAGUAUUUCGGUAUGUAAAGCCCUAUCAGCAGGGAAGAAGAAAUGACGGUACCUGAGUAAGAAGCACCGGCUAAAUACGUGCCAGCAGCCGCGGUAAUACGUAGGGUGCAAGCGUUAUUCGGAUUUACUGGGUGUACAGGGAGCGUAGGCGGGACGGCAAGCCUGAUGUGAAAGCCCGGGGCCCAACCGGGGGACUGCAUUUGGAACUGCCAGGCUGGAGUGCCGGAGAGGUAGGCGGAAUUCCUGGUGUAGCGGUGAAAUGCGUAGAUAUUAGGAGGAACACCAGUGGCGAAGGCGGCCUGCUGGACGGUGACUGACGCUGAGGCUCGAAGGCGUGGGGAGCAAACAGGAUUAGAUACCCGAGUAGUC
Molecule: ribosomal RNA, 442 nt
Filed under: uncultured bacterium
Lineage: Bacteria
Description: partial 16S ribosomal RNA
Rfam family: Bacterial small subunit ribosomal RNA
Source: RNAcentral